Molecule: ribosomal RNA, 573 nt
Filed under: Vandijkophrynus sp. HCL-2014
Lineage: Eukaryota; Metazoa; Chordata; Amphibia; Anura; Bufonidae
Description: partial 16S ribosomal RNA
Rfam family: Bacterial large subunit ribosomal RNA
Source: RNAcentral
CGCCUCUUGUAUGAUUCAUAAGAGGUCCAGCCUGCCCAGUGACCCUGUUCAACGGCCGCGGUAUCCUAACCGUGCGAAGGUAGCGUAAUCACUUGUUCUCUAAUUGUGGACUAGUAUGAACGGCACCACGAAGGUUAUACUGUCUCCUUUUUCUAAUCAGUGAAACUAAUCUCUCCGUGAAGAAGCGGGGAUAAAAAUAUAAGACGAGAAGACCCUAUGGAGCUUUAAACAACAUAGCAAUUGUUGCAUCAAUAUAAACCUUUCUGAAUAAUUAAAUCUUAUUAAGCAAUCUGACUAUAAGUUUUUGGUUGGGGUGACCGCGGAGCAUAACACAACCUCCAUGUUGAAAGAACUUUCUUCUAAGCUAAGAACUACCCAUCUAAGCAUCAAUACAUUGACAUUCAUUGACCCAAUACACUUGAUCAACGAACCAAGUUACCCUAGGGAUAACAGCGCAAUCCACUUCAAGAGCUCCUAUCGACAAGUGGGUUUACGACCUCGAUGUUGGAUCAGGGUAUCCCAGUGGUGCAGCCGCUACUAAAGGUUCGUUUGUUCAACGAUUAAAACCCUACG